GACGAACGCUGGCGGCGUGCCUAAUACAUGCAAGUCGAGCGAAGUUUUUCUGGUGCUUGCACUAGAAAAACUUAGCGGCGAACGGGUGAGUAACACGUAAAGAACCUGCCUCAUAGACUGGGACAACUAUUGGAAACGAUAGCUAAUACCGGAUAACAGUAUUUCUCGCAUGAGAGAUAUUUAAAAGUUGGUUAUGCUAACACUAUGAGAUGGCUUUGCGGUGCAUUAGCUAGUUGGUGGGGUAAAGGCCUACCAAGGCGACGAUGCAUAGCCGACCUGAGAGGGUGAUCGGCCACACUGGGACUGAGGCACGGCCCAGACUCCUACGGGAGGCAGCAGUAGGGAAUCUUCGGCAAUGGACGGAAGUCUGACCGAGCAACGCCGCGUGAGUGAAGAAGGUUUUCGGAUCGUAAAGCUCUGUUGUAAGAGAAGAACGAGUGUGAGAGUGGAAAGUUCACACUGUGACGGUAUCUUACCAGAAAGGGACGGCUAACUACGUGCCAGCAGCCGCGGUAAUACGUAGGUCCCGAGCGUUGUCCGGAUUUAUUGGGCGUAAAGCGAGCGCAGGCGGUUAGAUAAGUCUGAAGUUAAAGGCUGUGGCUUAACCAUAGUACGCUUUGGAAACUGUUUAACUUGAGUGCAAGAGGGGAGAGUGGAAUUCCAUGUGUAGCGGUGAAAUGCGUAGAUAUAUGGAGGAACACCGGUGGCGAAAGCGGCUCUCUGGCUUGUAACUGACGCUGAGGCUCGAAAGCGUGGGGAGCAAACAGG
RNAcentral lists this ribosomal RNA (768 nucleotides) under uncultured Streptococcus sp. Its description in RNAcentral is "bacterial SSU rRNA". It matches the Rfam family "Bacterial small subunit ribosomal RNA", at positions 28 to 776 of the family's 1533-position model. The record is from RNAcentral. Lineage: Bacteria; Bacillati; Bacillota; Bacilli; Lactobacillales; Streptococcaceae.